GGGGAAUAUUGGACAAUGGGCGCAAGCCUGAUCCAGCCAUGCCGCGUGUGUGAAGAAGGCCUUCGGGUUGUAAAGCACUUUUGUUGGGGAAGAAAACCUGUUGGUUAAUACCCGGCGGGAAUGACGGUACCCAAAGAAUAAGCACCGGCUAACUUCGUGCCAGCAGCCGCGGUAAUACGAAGGGUGCAAGCGUUACUCGGAAUUACCGGGCGUAAAGCGUGCGUAGGUGGUUCGUUAAGUCUGCCGUGAAAGCCCCGGGCUCAACCUGGGAAUGGCGGUGGAUACUGGCGGACUAGAGUGCGGUAGAGGGUGGUGGAAUUCCCGGUGUAGCAGUGAAAUGCGUAGAGAUCGGGAGGAACAUCUGUGGCGAAGGCGGCCACCUGGACCAGCACUGACACUGAGGCACGAAAGCGUGGGGAGCAAAC
Molecule: ribosomal RNA, 425 nt
Filed under: uncultured bacterium
Lineage: Bacteria
Description: bacterial SSU rRNA
Rfam family: Bacterial small subunit ribosomal RNA
Source: RNAcentral